GGGGCUGACUGGAAUUGACAGCAUUGAACGUUCUUUAAGUAAGCAUGUCGAGACAGGUGUGAUUAUCUCGUUAAAUAUAGCACAUAACAACUUUUAAAUGGCAAUAAUAACUAUGCCAUGGCUGCCUAAUCACAAAGUGAUUUAGACACCAUUGCGACCUACGCUUGACGCCUAAUACACAGCGUACCUCGCAUCAACCAACCUCUUAGGCUAGUUUAGAAUGCGUGUCUCCGUAAUUCAAAAUGAAUCAAGAAGAGACUGGAGUGGUAACUCGUUUGUCCUUAGACCUAUUACUGCUUGAGAUUCGACUAAUGACUAAACAUGUAGAAAGCUUAUUGAUGCUUUGACUGGACGAGGGUUCGACUCCCUCCAGCUCCACUA
This 381-nucleotide transfer-messenger RNA is filed under the name Aureispira anguillae. It matches the Rfam family "transfer-messenger RNA". Rfam says of the family: Bacterial tmRNA, also known as 10Sa RNA or SsrA, is named for its dual tRNA and mRNA-like properties. Its role is to liberate the mRNA from a stalled ribosome. To accomplish this part of the tmRNA is used as a reading frame that ends in a translation stop signal. The record is from Rfam by way of RNAcentral. Lineage: Bacteria; Pseudomonadati; Bacteroidota; Saprospiria; Saprospirales; Saprospiraceae.